Molecule: ribosomal RNA, 862 nt
Filed under: uncultured Acidobacteriota bacterium
Lineage: Bacteria; Pseudomonadati; Acidobacteriota
Description: bacterial SSU rRNA
Rfam family: Bacterial small subunit ribosomal RNA
Source: RNAcentral
UGCAAGUCGAACGCGAAAGUCCCGAAAGGGAUUAGUAGAGUGGCAAACGGGUGAGUAACACGUGGGUGACCUGCCUUCGAGUGGGGGAUAACGUCCCGAAAGGGACGCUAAUACCGCAUGACAUCCUGCCUUUGAAGAGGUGGAGAUCAAAGCUGGGGAUCGCAAGACCUAGCGCUCAAAGAGGGGCCCGCGCCUGAUUAGCUAGUUGGUGGGGUAACGGCUCACCAAGGCAACGAUCAGUAUCCGGCCUGAGAGGGCGGACGGACACACUGGGACUGAGACACGGCCCAGACUCCUACGGGAGGCAGCAGUGGGGAAUUGUUCGCAAUGGGCGCAAGCCUGACGACGCAACGCCGCGUGGAGGAUGAAGACCUUCGGGUCGUAAACUCCUUUCGAUCGAGACGAACGGCUUCCGGGUGAACAAUCCGGAAGAGUGACGGUACCGAGAGAAGAAGCCCCGGCUAACUCCGUGCCAGCAGCCGCGGUAAUACGGGGGGGGCAAGCGUUGUUCGGAAUUACUGGGCGUAAAGGGCUCGUAGGCGGCCAACUAAGUCAGACGUGAAAUCCCCAGGCUUAACCUGGGAACUGCGUCUGAUACUGGAUGGCUUGAGAUUGGGAGAGGGAUGCGGAAUUCCAGGUGUAGCGGUGAAAUGCGUAGAUAUCUGGAGGAACACCGGUGGCGAAGGCGACAUCCUGGACCAACACUGACGCUGAGGAGCGAAAGCCAGGGGAGCAAACGGGAUUAGAUACCCCGGUAGUCCUGGCCCUAAACGAUGAAUGCUUGGUGUGGCGGGUAUCGAUCCCUGCCGUGCCGAAGCUAACGCAUUAAGCAUUCCGCCUGGGGAGUACGGUCGCAAGGCUG